CUUCUUUGUUCAUAACUUAGGUUGAUAAUAUCAUGAAGAAGAGUACUCAGGUCAAUCUUAUUAAUUUCUUAUCAGCAUUGUCUUUCUCAUCUCUCCUCCUAACAGUUUGGGCGCAAACGAAUUCAAAUGAUGUGGAAGCAAUAGAUUUGCUACAAACAACUUUUUCUUAUGCGCUAUCUUCAACCGGUGAUCCAUGUCUUCCCAUACCAUUUAUAUGGGUUCAAUGUAGCUCCCAUAUCACACCUCGAGUAACAGCAUUAAAUCUAGGUAAGUAUUUUUUGGUUGCGAGCUCUACGUUACUACCUCUCCCA
Papaver somniferum (opium poppy) is the source of this 311-nucleotide long non-coding RNA. RefSeq lists it as uncharacterized. NCBI's taxonomy places the organism in Eukaryota, Viridiplantae, Streptophyta, Magnoliopsida, Ranunculales, Papaveraceae. The transcript has 3 exons. The record is from RefSeq and is a predicted model, not a curated record.